This 465-nucleotide ribosomal RNA is filed under the name uncultured bacterium. RNAcentral's name for it is "partial 16S ribosomal RNA". It matches the Rfam family "Bacterial small subunit ribosomal RNA", at positions 338 to 795 of the family's 1533-position model. The record is from RNAcentral.
CCUACGGGAGGCUGCAGUGGGGAAUAUUGCGCAAUGGGCGAAAGCCUGACGCAGCGACGCCGCGUGAGGGAUGAAGGUCUUCGGAUCGUAAACCUCUGUCAGCAGGGAAGAACGGUCACUGUGCUAAUCAGCAGUGAAUUGACGGUACCUGCAAAGGAAGCACUGGCUAACUCCGUGCCAGCAGCCGCGGUAAUACGGAGGGUGCGAGCGUUAAUCGGAUUGACUGGGCGUAAAGCGCUCGUAGGCGGUAGGUCAAGUCAAGGGUGAAAUCCCCGCGCUCAACGUGGGAACUGCAUUUGAAACUGGCAAACUGGAGUGUGUGAGAGGAUAGUGGAAUUCCGGGUGUAGGAGUGAAAUCCGUAGAUAUCUGGAGGAACAUCAGUGGCGAAGGCGAAUAUCUGGCACAUAACUGACGCUGAGGAGCGAAAGCGUGGGUAGCAAACAGGAUUAGAUACCCGAGUAGUC